UACAGAGGCCCCAAGCGUUACUGAGAAUCACUGGGUUUAAAGGGCGCGUAGGCGGUUCGUACAGUCAGACGUGAAAUUCCUGGGCUCAACCUGGGGGCUGCGUUUGAUACGUGCGGACUUGAGUGCGGAAGAGGGUCGUGGAAUUCCCAGUGUAGAGGUGAAAUUCGUAGAUAUUGGGAAGAACACCGGUGGCGAAGGCGGCGACCUGGUCCGAUACUGACGCUGAGGCGCGAAAGCGUGGGGAGCAAACAGG
This 253-nucleotide ribosomal RNA is filed under the name uncultured bacterium. RNAcentral describes it as "partial 16S ribosomal RNA". It matches the Rfam family "Bacterial small subunit ribosomal RNA", at positions 524 to 776 of the family's 1533-position model. The record is from RNAcentral.